This 380-nucleotide ribosomal RNA is filed under the name uncultured eukaryote. RNAcentral describes it as "partial 18S ribosomal RNA". It matches the Rfam family "Eukaryotic small subunit ribosomal RNA", at positions 592 to 976 of the family's 1831-position model. The record is from RNAcentral.
CAAUAGCGUAUAUUAAAGUUGUUGCGGUUAAAAAGCUCGUAGUUGGAUUUCUGCUGAGAACGACCGGUCCGCCCUUUGGGUGUGUAUCUGGCUCUUUCUUGGCAUCUUCUUGGUGAACGUUGCUGCACUUGACUGUGUGGAGCGCUACCCAGGACUUUUACUUUGAGGAAAUUAGAGUGUUUCAAGCAGGCAUACGCCUUGAAUACAUUAGCAUGGAAUAAUAAGAUAGGACCUCGGUUCUAUUUUGUUGGUUUCUAGAGCUGAGGUAAUGAUUAAUAGGGAUAGUUGGGGGCAUUCGUAUUUAACUGUCAGAGGUGAAAUUCUUGGAUUUGUUAAAGACGGACUACUGCGAAAACAUUUGCCAAGGAUGUUUUCAUUGA